Molecule: transfer RNA, 71 nt
Filed under: Deinococcus malanensis
Lineage: Bacteria; Thermotogati; Deinococcota; Deinococci; Deinococcales; Deinococcaceae
Description: tRNA-Gly
Rfam family: tRNA
About the family: Transfer RNA (tRNA) molecules are approximately 80 nucleotides in length. Their secondary structure includes four short double-helical elements and three loops (D, anti-codon, and T loops).
Source: RNAcentral
GCAGGUUUCGUCCAACAGCAAGACGCCGGUGUGCCACACCGGAAAUGGAGGUGCAAGUCCUUCAACCUGCU